CGACCGGCGCACGGGUGAGUAACACGUAUCCAACCUGCCGUCUACUCUUGGCCAGCCUUCUGAAAGGAAGGUUAAUCCAGGAUGGGAUCAUGAGUUCACAUGUCCGCAUGAUUAAAGGUUUACCGGUGUAAGAUGGGGAUGCGUUCCAUUAGAUAGUAGGCGGGGUAACGGCCCACCUAGUCUUCGAUGGAUAGGGGUUCUGAGAGGAAGGUCCCCCACAUUGGAACUGAGACACGGUCCAA
RNAcentral lists this ribosomal RNA (242 nucleotides) under uncultured bacterium. Its description in RNAcentral is "partial 16S ribosomal RNA". It matches the Rfam family "Bacterial small subunit ribosomal RNA", at positions 92 to 334 of the family's 1533-position model. The record is from RNAcentral.